Crotalus tigris (Tiger rattlesnake) is the source of this 409-nucleotide non-coding RNA. Lineage: Eukaryota; Metazoa; Chordata; Lepidosauria; Squamata; Viperidae. The record is from the annotation of a RefSeq genome assembly.
UGUCAGUGCAGUAAAAGAAGGGUUGUUUUCUCACUGCCCCAUGGAGCCUGCCAUUGUACUUCUUUGCUUAGUAGCAGCUCCUCUGUAUGUCCACUCCACCAUCCAACUUGUGGAAUCUGGGCCAGGAAUAGUGAGCCCUGGAGGAUCCUUCAGAUUAACUUGCAAAGUGACAGGGGAAUCCAUUGAGAAUGUAUACUUGGCAUGGAUCCGCCAGGCUCCAGGAAAAGGAUUGGAAUGGGUCGGUGACAUAGCCUUGGAGGAGGGUGAAUGGAGUACAGACUAUGCCUCAUCCCUCCAAAGUCGAACGACCUUGACAGCCGAUGACUCCAAGAAUGAAUGUUACUUGACAAUGAAAUCCCUGACAGCUGCAGACUCAGCCACAUAUUACUGUGCAGGAGAGUCACAGUGA